CAGAUUCCUACUGGAAAUCCAUUAUAUGAAUCUUAUUACAAGCAGGUCGAUCCCGCAUACACAGGGAGAGUUGGGGCGAGUGAAGCCGCUCUUUUUCUGAAGAAGUCUGGGCUCUCCGAUGUUAUCCUUGGAAAGAUAUGGGACUUGGCUGACCCAGAAGGUAAAGGGUUCUUGGACAAACAGG
Long non-coding RNA from Galeopterus variegatus (Sunda flying lemur), 184 nucleotides. RefSeq lists it as uncharacterized. The transcript is spliced from 3 exons. The record is from RefSeq and is a predicted model, not a curated record. NCBI's taxonomy places the organism in Eukaryota, Metazoa, Chordata, Mammalia, Dermoptera, Cynocephalidae.